AUCACGUCUAAAUCUCUGGGCUAAGAACAAGGGUAGUGUCUGUUCUUAUCAGCUAUGUGAAACCUCCUCUAUCCAAAGACAAUAUAUUGGAUGGAUUUUUGGAGCAGGAAGAUGGAAUAUGAGCUUGCUCUGUCCACUCCAUGCUUCAGCCUUGUAUUACAGUACCUCCAAGGAUGGUGCACCUCCU
Nannospalax galili (Upper Galilee mountains blind mole rat) is the source of this 187-nucleotide small nuclear RNA. Its record names the gene U2. It matches the Rfam family "U2 spliceosomal RNA". Rfam says of the family: U2 is a small nuclear RNA (snRNA) component of the spliceosome (involved in pre-mRNA splicing). Complementary binding between U2 snRNA (in an area lying towards the 5' end but 3' to hairpin I) and the branchpoint sequence (BPS) of the intron results the bulging out of an unpaired adenosine, on the BPS, which initiates a nucleophilic attack at the intronic 5' splice site, thus starting the first of two transesterification reactions that mediate splicing. The record is from Ensembl. NCBI's taxonomy places the organism in Eukaryota, Metazoa, Chordata, Mammalia, Rodentia, Spalacidae.